RNAcentral lists this long non-coding RNA (217 nucleotides) under Elaeis guineensis (African oil palm). Its description in RNAcentral is "long non-coding RNA (EGUI_LNC079943)". The record is from RNAcentral. Lineage: Eukaryota; Viridiplantae; Streptophyta; Magnoliopsida; Arecales; Arecaceae.
CGAUCAUUUGCUCAUGAGGUGGUUUAGACAAUAGUUUAUGUUGAUCUUCAGGUAUACUGAUAUGGUUGUCUACUUAUUUUCCAGACCUUAAAGUAUGAAUUACAUUUAAUUGGUUGAUUUGGGCUCCUUGUUGUGGUCUUUGAUUGUUCUGGGUCCUAGGAUUAGCCUCGGAUUGACUCGGUAGUUUAUUUUUUUCUCUUUCACUUAUAGCCAUGGC